UAGCUCAACUAUAGGCUUCGGGGAGUACUGCCAGACUUGGAACCGGGAGAGGUAAGAGGUACGUACAGGGUAGGAGUGAAAUCUUGUAAUCCCUGUGGGACCGACCUGUGGCGAAGGCGUCUUACCAGAACGGGUUCGACGGUGAGGGACGAAAGCUGGGGGCACGAACCGGAUUAGAUACCCGGGUAGUCCCAGCGUAAACGAUGCUCGCUAGGUGUCAGGCAUGGCGCGACCGUGUCUGGUGCCGCAGGGAAGCCGUGAAGCGAGCCACCUGGGAAGUACGGCCGCAAGGCUGAAACUUAAAGGAAUUGGCGGGGGAGCACAACAACGGGUGGAGCCCUGCGGUUUAAUUGGACUCAAACGCCGGACAACUCACCGGGGGCGACAGCAAUAUGUAGGCCAAGCUGAAGACUUUGCCUGAAUCGCUGAGAGGUGGUGCAUGG
RNAcentral lists this ribosomal RNA (443 nucleotides) under uncultured archaeon. Its description in RNAcentral is "bacterial SSU rRNA". It matches the Rfam family "Archaeal small subunit ribosomal RNA", at positions 555 to 997 of the family's 1478-position model. The record is from RNAcentral.